RNAcentral lists this ribosomal RNA (253 nucleotides) under uncultured bacterium. RNAcentral's name for it is "partial 16S ribosomal RNA". It matches the Rfam family "Bacterial small subunit ribosomal RNA", at positions 524 to 776 of the family's 1533-position model. The record is from RNAcentral.
GACGAAGGGUGCUAGCGUUGUUCGGAUUUACUGGGCGUAAAGCGCACGUAGGCGGGUUGUUAAGUCAGGGGUGAAAUCCUGGAGCUCAACUCCAGAACUGCCUUUGAUACUGGCAACCUAGAGGCUGGAAGAGGUUAGUGGAAUUCCCAGUGUAGAGGUGAAAUUCGUAGAUAUUGGGAAGAACACCAGUGGCGAAGGCGGCUAACUGGUCCAGAUCUGACGCUGAGGUGCGAAAGCGUGGGGAGCAAACAGG